This 253-nucleotide ribosomal RNA is filed under the name uncultured bacterium. RNAcentral's name for it is "partial 16S ribosomal RNA". It matches the Rfam family "Bacterial small subunit ribosomal RNA", at positions 524 to 776 of the family's 1533-position model. The record is from RNAcentral.
CACGUAGGGCGCAAGCGUUGUCCGGAAUUAUUGGGCGUAAAGAGCUCGUAGGCGGUCUGUUGCGUCUGCCGUGAAAGUCCGGGGCUCAACUCCGGAUCUGCGGUGGGUACGGGCAGACUAGAGUGAUGUAGGGGAGACUGGAAUUCCUGGUGUAGCGGUGAAAUGCGCAGAUAUCAGGAGGAACACCGAUGGCGAAGGCAGGUCUCUGGGCAUUAACUGACGCUGAGGAGCGAAAGCAUGGGGAGCGAACAGG